RNAcentral lists this ribosomal RNA (465 nucleotides) under uncultured bacterium. RNAcentral describes it as "partial 16S ribosomal RNA". It matches the Rfam family "Bacterial small subunit ribosomal RNA", at positions 28 to 507 of the family's 1533-position model. The record is from RNAcentral.
GACGAACGCUGGCGGCGUGCUUAACACAUGCAAGUCGAACGGAAAGGCCCUGCUUGCAGGGUACUCGAGUGGCGAACGGGUGAGUAACACGUGGGUGAUCUGCCCUGCACUUCGGGAUAAGCCUGGGAAACUGGGUCUAAUACCGGAUAGGAGCCAUUUUUAGUGUGAUGGUUGGAAAGUUUUUUCGGUGUAGGAUGAGCUCGCGGCCUAUCAGCUUGUUGGUGGGGUAAUGGCCUACCAAGGCGGCGACGGGUAGCCGGCCUGAGAGGGUGGACGGCCACAUUGGGACUGAGAGGCGGCCCAGACUCCUACGAGAGGCAGCAGUGGGGAAUAUUGCACAAUGGGCGCAGGACUGAUGCAGCGAAGCCGCGUGGGGGAUGACGGCCUUCGGGUUGUAAACUCCUUUCGCUAGGGACGAAGCUUUUUGUGACGGUACCUAGAUAAGAAGCACCGGCUAACUACGUG